This 399-nucleotide RNase P RNA is filed under the name Streptomyces sp. Ru87. RNAcentral describes it as "Bacterial RNase P class A". It matches the Rfam family "Bacterial RNase P class A". Rfam says of the family: Ribonuclease P (RNase P) is a ubiquitous endoribonuclease, found in archaea, bacteria and eukarya as well as chloroplasts and mitochondria. Its best characterised activity is the generation of mature 5'-ends of tRNAs by cleaving the 5'-leader elements of precursor-tRNAs. Cellular RNase Ps are ribonucleoproteins. The record is from Rfam by way of RNAcentral. Lineage: Bacteria; Bacillati; Actinomycetota; Actinomycetes; Kitasatosporales; Streptomycetaceae.
CGAGCCGAGCGGACGGCCGCGUCAGGACAGCAAGUCCUGCCGAGGAACGUCCGGACUCCACAGGGCAGGGUGGUGGCUAACGGCCACCCGGGGCGACCCGCGGGAAAGUGCCACAGAAAGCAGACCGCCGGGGACCUCGGUCCCCGGUAAGGGUGAAACGGUGGUGUAAGAGACCACCAGUGCCCAGGGUGACCUGGGCAGCUCGGUAAACCCCACCCGGAGCAAGGUCAAAAGGGAGCACCCCGGUGCUCCUGCGCGGACGUUCGAGGGCAGCCCGCCCGAGUCCGCGGGUGGACCGCACGAGGCCGGCGGCAACGCCGGUCCCAGAUGGAUGGCCGUCUCCCCGGCCGCCGCGAGGCGACCGGGUGACAGAAUCCGGCGUACAGCUCGACUCGCCUG